UUGCAAUGAACUGGUCAAUGUCACUCCUUCCUGUGUGUCCUGAAAAAGCUAUAUCCACUCAAGCAAAUGACUGCUAUACAGGUUUGAGGGAGAAGGGGGAAGCAAAAUACAAACGAAAGCAAUAAAAAAACUGUACUACUGAAUUAUAGGUUUUUCUAUGCAUUGACAUCAUGCUGAUUUCAACAAAUUUGAGAGCUUGAAGUUUACUCAAACUCCAGAGCCCAGUGGAUUAAAAGACGUCUAAAACGGACUGGAGGCUCCCUCCAAGGUCAAGUGCAGACACAGGCAUAAGCGCUUCCUGAAGAAGUUUUAAGUUGUUGUGGAAGCUGUGAAAAAGCUUGUUACGCUGAAGAAGAAAUAGACUUGACUCACCUGCAGGAGGCUACUUGGCUGAUUAAGAUAUAAGAUCUUCAGCCAAAUUCAUCCAAGGCAUCCAUCUGUCUUCAAAGAGAUUAGAAAUUUGUUCUGAAGCAGUGCAAAGAGUAAGACCAAGAAUUUGAUGAGAACUAUGUGCCAGCUCUGGAAAUGAUCUAGGACCCAAGGGAGCCUACACAAAACCAAACAGAUAGUACCAGGAGAUGGCACGUUUCAUUCUUUUAAAAAUAUCUACAAGAUGAAUUCAAACAGGAGCCAUGAGUCAUCUAGCAUAAUUCUAUCAUGCUGUUUCACAAAAGACUCCAACUCUAUCCCAAAAGGAUUGUGUAUAAUUUACCACCAAUUACAAGAACUUUUAUUAUUGACUGAUACUCUCUGAAGUAGAUAAGGAUUACUACACUGAUUUUAGAAAAGAGAAAACUCAAGCUCGAAAUGUAAAUUGGUUUGUCACAUAGCCAUUUAUUCAUUCAUCUAACACAAGUUUUUUGAACAUAUGUGACAUUACAAAGAAGAUUAAGACAUAAUCUCUCUCUUGGGAGAACGAGGUGGGCGGAUCACGAGGUCAAGAGAUCGAGACCAUCCAGACCAACAUGGUGAAACCCCAUCUCUACUAAAAAUACAAAAAAAUUAGCAGGGCAUGAUGGCACGCGCCUGUGGUCCCAGCUACUCAGGAGGCUGAGGCAGAAGAAUCGCUUGAACCCAGGAGGUGGAGGUUGCAGUGAGCCAAGAUUGCAUCACUGCACUCCAGCCUGGCGACAGAGCAAGACUCUGUCUCAAACAAAACAAAACAAAACCAAAAAACAAGACAUAAUCUCUAAGGAGCACAGAGAAAUAUUAUGGAAAUGACACAAAAUAAGCAAUUAAUGCUGUCUCAGAGGAGGCACUAUGUGUAAAAGACAAGCCUUUUGCACAGCACUACCUGCCUUCUCAGAUAUGAUGCAGAGAUGAAGCUUUAAAUUUGUGUUCCUUGUAUAUUAAAGUAAUUAAGUUAUCGUCCUUCAAAAUGUUUAAGUCCCAAGUACCUUGUAUCAAUAUACUCUCCUAUGAACAAUUUCAUGUAGUUGACCUUGAAAAUCUACAGUUUAUAAUAUUUCACUGCUCUCAGUCAUUCAAAUAAUUAUUGAAUACCCACUAACUAGAAGUCACUGUUCUAGGUGUGUGAACACAAAGUGAAAAGGACAUGUUUCUUACUGUCAAGAAAUUUUAAUUUAGUAAAAGAAAUCUACCCAGAAAUAAAUACAAUACUAGACAGAAUGUGUUUACUGCUGACAGAGAGAUCCAACAAUCUGAUAUUGCACAUAGAAGAGAAACCAAUUAAUAUACUCUUAACUUAGAAAUUCAUUGAUAGCUUAAAUGUGAAAGGUAUUCAUGAGUGAGAACGAUAAAAUUGAACAUCUUGAUUAUCAGACUAUUAGACAUGAACUGAGUUGUGGGCUCUCAUGAGACGUUUAAGAUAUUAAAGGUGUUCCUUUUUCUAUAUUAUUUUCUAUAAUAUAUCUAUUUUAAUAAUUGUAUGCUAAUAAUGUAGCCGUAUUUAUCAAAUACUUGCUGUGGUUUAAAUAGCCUGAACUCUGAGCUCUAAAAUCAAAGGUUUCUAAACCCUGCAGUCAUUAUUCUCUCCGAGGGAGUACAGGAAGAGGAUAAAUUAAGACAUCAUCUGCUUCUUGUGGUGAGGUUUGCAUCAUCACGACUUUUUCAAUCUUAAAUAUCUCUGCAUAUUUAAAGACAUGUUCAGCAUAAAAUAGAAACUCCUUAGCAUGCUUUUCAGAACCCUUCCUGAUAUCCACACCUGCUUCUACGACCUUCGUCUCUCAUCACUUUAGGCGUACACCCUACACUCCUGGCAAAUUGGAUUAUCUUAGGUUCCCCAAACAUGGCAUCACUUUGUACCAUCCAGCCCUUCCUCGACGCUUCUUGCCCCGUCCUUUCAAACUUAUCUCAGCCUGUCACCUCCACUGGGGAGUCUUCCUUGACUCUUUUUUCCCUAGGCCAGAUUAAGGGUCUCUGCUCUGUGUACCCUAAUGCUUUGGGCUUACUCCAUCAUAGCUUUCCCACAGCCCAGUGCCCUUCUCUUCCCUUGCCUCUCAUCUAAACUUGACUGAGAAGGUCUGGAAAGCAGGGAUUAUAUCUUCCACUGGGUUCGCUCAAGUACCCAUCUGAUGCAUGGGAAGAAUAGGAACACAAUAUAUUAGCUGAAUGCAAAUAUGGAAGAAGAGAGGGAGGGAACACAAGUGGCUUUAGUUAUUUCUAAGUGAAAGGGGAGUUGUUCUGAAAAAGAGGAAAUUAAGACAAGCUGCUGAGGAACUAUAAAAUUGAAAGUAAUUACAUUUUCCUUGAUAUCAAAAUAAGAUUUAGCCUUUCUUGAAUUCAUUUAUAUCACUCAAUAAAUUCCUUCUGGAUAAUAUUUUUCAGGUACUCUACUUGGGCAGGUUUUUUAAAAUUUCAAUCUAUACAGCAACUGGACCAUUUGAAAUUAACUGUUUUCCUCAACUCGGCCUAAAAUGUGUUUAUUUUGAAAAUGGUAAGAUCACGCAUCUAUCAUGUGUAUAUAUAUAAAUGAAAAAAAUGUACCAAAUUCCAUGCUUAAAUGUUUUCAUCUGAAACAAUGAUGCUGCUAUAAACAUUACUGUGCAUCACUGUAAAUAUCUUGCAAAAGCAACAUCAUCUUUUUUUUUUUUUUUUUUUUGAGACGGAGUUUCGCUCUUGUUACCCAGGCUGGAGUGCAAUGGCGCGAUCUCGGCUCACUGCAACCUCCAUCUCCUGGGUUCAGGCAAUUCUCCUGCCUCAGCCUCCUGAGUAGCUGGGAUUACAAGCACGCGCCACCAUGCCCAGCUAAUUUUUUGUAUUUUUAGUAGAGACAGGGUUUCACCAUGUAAGCAUCAUCUUCUUGGAAGACAUUAAAGUUUCAACAGCUAUGGCAGAAACAAUGGAAGCUAUAACAAUUGUUACAUUUCAAACUACUUUUUAUGUGUUUCUUUGGCCACCCCAACUUUUGCUUUAUCUUUGCUUUCAGGCUGACCACCCAAAAAUCAGACCAUGUUUGUAAAAUGGAUUUGACCUCAGUUUCCUCUGCUUGCUUUCUUCAGUGAAAUCAAGUGCCUAGGAAUGGAAGGGAUAGGAAAUGAUACAUUAUGAGCAGUCAGUCAUGUUUUACAGUUUUGGGUUCAGUUGCAGCUGUCCUAUAAAUAUAGGCUCACGCCUUUCUGUUUUUGAAACAUGUAUUUCUCUCUGAUUCAAACUACAUUCCCUUGACAAUGAUGAAUACAUUUGAGGUGAUCAAUAAAUAUCAACCGUAGCUCGUUUUCUGUGAACACAGUAGCAGUAUAAUAAAUAAGAUAAUCUACAAUCCUGAAGGAUGAAUAUUUUGGAGGAACAAGGUGAUUAUUCUAAUAGGUGCUAUAUUCAUAUUUCAUGCCAUGUUCUCAUGAGUCUUAGCAACAUCUGAUAAUUAGAGCAACUCUUCUCCAAUCAGCUAUUAGUCAUUGUCGACAAUUGACACUCACUUGUAUAUUCUGCUAAGUGAUUUAACAAAUAGCUUCAUUCACCAAACACAUUAGGAAAUUCUAAAAAGAAUAGGAAGUAUAUCAGAUUCUUGAGUUACAUGGCUCACUCUUCACUUGAAUCCAGCGGUUGGUUUACAGCAAUGGCAUCUCAACAUCGCCACCUGCUGCUCACUCUGGGUCCAAACAUGCAUAACUCAAGCCACAGACUGCCAGACAUUACCUCAGUGAGAAACAUUCCUGAAACGGGUAAUCAUCAAACCCUAGCAGAAUUAAAGGCAAUCCACUGCACUCCUGGAGCCCUAGACAAAGGCAGUGAGGGAGCUGUUGUCAACGUGGGCAAUUAAGUGAUAAUUAUAUUUUACUGAAUUUCACAAAUUGGAAAAUAUAUUGGCUUUUGGAUUUUUUGUAUGUUUUGAUCUCUGCUAUAUCCCCAGCAUUUAGAACAAUGCCUGACACAUAGCAGUGGCUCAAUAAAUAUAUACUAAAUAAGUAAAUAUGUAAAGAGAAGAAGGGUAAUUAUUCUCAUGAAUUCAUCUUUAAAUAAUAAAAUAAAUAUUGUGACAUAUUUCUAGUAACUAAUAAUAUCCCUACCUAGAACUGUUAGAGAGAAGAAUGAAUGAAAAUGAAAGGAGGUGUGACGUGGUGGCUCACACCUAUAAUCCCAGCACUUUGGGAGGCCGAGGAGGGUGGACUGGAUCCCCUGAGCCUAGGAGGUCAAGACAAGCCUGGGCAACAUGGCAAAAUCCCGUCUUUACAAAAAAUACAAAAAACUAGCCUGGUGUGGUGGCAUCCUAGCUGCCUGGGAGGCUGAGGUGGGAGGAUUACCUGAGCCUGCAAAGUCAAGGCUGCAGUGAGCUGUGAUCAUGUCACUGUACUUCAGCCUCGAUGAUGGUGAAACCUUGUCUCCACUCCCCCCGAAAAAAGAAAGAAAAUGAAAGGGGGGAGAGAGUCUCUUCAAUAUAUUUAACCAGAAAUAUGAUAACAACCUGGACGAAGAAAGAAAUAUAUAUGAGAAAAUUACUAACAGUCUAUUCUGCAGAUAAAAUGGGAUAUUCUUUUUAACAAAAUUCAAAAAAAGUAAAAAGUAUAUUUAAAAAAUCAUAUAUUUCACUUUUUACCGAGCUGAUAUUCAAGCUAUCCCACUCACUUAUUUAUAUAUUGCCCACAAUACUAACAAAUUUGUUACGCUAAUAUUUGACAAAGAAAUGGAAAAAGUAAUAUUGACCUAGCUUCAACAAUUUUGGAACAAGAGGUUGUUUGCUAAAAAAUAAUUCCUCUUACCCAGAAUGAAACUGAUUUUCAAGGAAAGUACCUUUUUGUAAAGUGCUGACUUCAAGUUUUAUUCCUGCAGUGCUAACAUCCAGAUCUGCAUGUAUUGGGAGAGAAAGUUCAUGGAUCUCUGGUGCUCCCACUGGUAGGUCAAGAAUGCAGGAUUCUGACCCUUCUACAUCUGGGCAGAUGUAGAAGUGUUGAGUCCACAAUAGCAACCUCCAGGGUUGAAGUGAUGUUGCCCUCCAAAACAAAGAGCAAACUUGCUUCCUAUUUGCUGUAAAACUGCAGAUUCCCCAAGUUUAGGGUUCCUUUCCUGAACCCCAUCUGCUACAGCUGCAUACAUCCAUCUGGGCCCAGCUGCAUCACCCAGGGAGAAUUGGCACUGGGAGAGCGGAUGUGGCAUACCAACACUCUGGCUACUGCUUUGCUGUGAUAAAUCACCUCUGACCCAGAAGUCAGGAGUCUUCUGUAAUCAUCCAUGAAACUGUGAUGAGUUAACAUGUUAGCUUGAAAGCCGGGUAAAAUCUCAAGGCCCUCAUAGUUCUUGAGAGCAUGACUUCAUCCAAGAACAGGACUGUUCACAAUUAGGGAAUCCCAGUGUACUCAAGGCACAAUAAAGUGAAUUUUCAAGAGGAAAAUUCAGUGUUUUGGAGACAACUGGUUAUAUAAACUGAAAAUACCUUUUCACUAGUGUAAACAGAAUUUUAUUCUAGAAAAAAUUUUGAGGGAUUUUGAAAUUAUAUAUUAAUUUUAAAAAUUCAGUGCUUUAUUUAAACUAGGGUUAUGAGUGUCACAUUAAAAAUUGAGUACAGUGGUCAGAUUUUUGUAAAAUUUGGAGAUUUUACAAUAUCAGUAAAAAAGAAAAAUACCAUUUAUAGGCCACAAGAAGAGUUUUCUUUUUAAAGUGGAUUUAUACUAUAUGAUUUCAUCAUUUAUUUCUACCUAAUAAUAUAGUAAAGAAUUCACUACAAGAAUCAUGAUCAACAAUCUACUUUCCCAACUCCAGCUUUGGUUUUUGCUAAGGGUAGAAAUAUCCAUUAUCUUUCACAUAGAGUUCUUAGAUUUGGAGUCAGAAAUUAUUUUCUUGAUACUUUGUAAAGGGAGAGGAUUCUAACACUAUUCUGAGUGCCAGGUGGCUAUAGAACAUGCUAUAAUAUGGAUAACCCCAGUGGAGCUCAUUAUGAUUUGUAUAGUUAGCAUGCCAAGGCUUUCAAAUGAUAAAACAGGGAAUCUAGAAAUCAAAUGUUUUUGUGGUCAAGAAGCAUGAAUUCUCUUCUCCAAUCUGUCCUGAAUUACUGUAUGAGUCUGAGAAAGUAACCACUGUCUUCUUCUCCUUAAAAAAAAAAAAAAAAAAAAAACUUUUGCAGGAGAUAUUCCUUCUCUGUUAAAACCAGGAAAAUAUCCCAGCAAAGUACAAAAUAAUGACAUCAGAGAAAGCAACAGUAAGAAAAUGAGAAUGGAAGAAACCGUAUUUUCCAGGCUUUAAACUAUAGGGUUUGUACUGGAAGCAUCGUUUUAUAGCAAUAUGUUUGAUAACUCUUUUCCUUAGAAGCAGUAUUAACUGACUUGCAGAUGACCCACUCAUUUUGAAGAAUGAAUAUGCAAUGUAAAUUUAAAAGUCUCUUAUUCAAAAACAAAAUUACUGAGGAGAAACUUAACUAGCACCUAACAUCUAAUUAGUUCAACAGCUCCAGUAAUAUGGUAUAUCUGUUUCCUCUCUUAAAGAAAUUCCCAAUGACAAAUAAUUUGACAAUAAAUCUUUAACAUUUUACCACAACUCA
This is a long non-coding RNA of Callithrix jacchus (white-tufted-ear marmoset), 6931 nucleotides long. RefSeq lists it as uncharacterized. The record is from RefSeq and is a predicted model, not a curated record. Lineage: Eukaryota; Metazoa; Chordata; Mammalia; Primates; Cebidae.